Molecule: ribosomal RNA, 269 nt
Filed under: uncultured bacterium
Lineage: Bacteria
Description: partial 16S ribosomal RNA
Rfam family: Bacterial small subunit ribosomal RNA
Source: RNAcentral
CCGGCGACCGGCGCACGGGUGAGUAACACGUAUGCGACCUGCCCCCCGCAGGGGAUAACCGGGAGAAAUCCCGACUAAUACCGCGUAACGCCGCGGACCUGCAUGGGUCUGCGGCCAAAGGAAGCGAUUCCGGCGGGGGAUGGGCAUGCGGCGCAUUAGCUAGUCGGCGGGGUAACGGCCCACCGAGGCGACGAUGCGUAGGGGUUCUGAGAGGAAGGUCCCCCACACUGGUACUGAGACACGGACCAGACUCCUACGGAAGGCAGCAG